AGCAGCCGCGGUAAAUUCCAGCUCCAAUAGCGUAUAUUAAAGUUGUUGCAGUUAAAAAGCUCGUAGUUGAAUUUCGGAAUUUUUUUAUCGGUUGAAUCAACAGGUUCGUACUGAUUUUAAGAAUUUCUACCUUCUGGAGAACCUUAAUGUCAUUAAUUUGGUGUUUUGGGAAACCAGGACUGUUACCUUGAAAAAAUUAGAGUGUUUAAAGCAGGCUUAUGUCUGAAUAUAUUAGCAUGGAAUAAUGAAAUAGGACGGCAUGGUUCUAUUUUGUUGGUUUCUAGGAUCACCGUAAUGAUUAAUAGGGAUAGUUGGGGGCAUUAGUAUUCAAUUGUCAGAGGUGAAAUUCUUGGAUUUAUUGAAGACUAACUUCUGCGAAAGCAUUUGCCAAGGAUGUUUU
This 400-nucleotide ribosomal RNA is filed under the name uncultured Glomeromycotina. RNAcentral's name for it is "SSU rRNA". It matches the Rfam family "Eukaryotic small subunit ribosomal RNA", at positions 569 to 970 of the family's 1831-position model. Lineage: Eukaryota; Fungi; Glomeromycota. The record is from RNAcentral.